RNAcentral lists this transfer RNA (76 nucleotides) under Escherichia coli. RNAcentral's name for it is "tRNA-Val". It matches the Rfam family "tRNA". From Rfam's summary of the family: Transfer RNA (tRNA) molecules are approximately 80 nucleotides in length. The record is from RNAcentral. Lineage: Bacteria; Pseudomonadati; Pseudomonadota; Gammaproteobacteria; Enterobacterales; Enterobacteriaceae. RNAcentral also lists the same sequence under 25 other names.
GGGCGAUUAGCUCAGUUGGUAGAGCAUCUCCCUUACAAGGAGGGGGUCACUGGUUCGAGCCCGGUAUCGCCCACCA